Molecule: ribosomal RNA, 907 nt
Filed under: human gut metagenome
Description: bacterial SSU rRNA
Rfam family: Bacterial small subunit ribosomal RNA
Source: RNAcentral
GUUUGAUCCUGGCUCAGGAUGAACGCUGGCGGCGUGCCUAAUACAUGCAAGUCGAACGCUUCACUUCGGUGAAGAGUGGCGAACGGGUGAGUAAUACAUAAGUAACCUGGCAUCUACAGGGGGAUAACUGAUGGAAACGUCAGCUAAGACCGCAUAGGUGUAGAGAUCGCAUGAACUCUAUAUGAAAAGUGCUACGGGACUGGUAGAUGAUGGACUUAUGGCGCAUUAGCUGGUUGGUAGGGUAACGGCCUACCAAGGCGACGAUGCGUAGCCGACCUGAGAGGGUGACCGGCCACACUGGGACUGAGACACGGCCCAGACUCCUACGGGAGGCAGCAGUAGGGAAUUUUCGGCAAUGGGGGAAACCCUGACCGAGCAACGCCGCGUGAAGGAAGAAGUAAUUCGUUAUGUAAACUUCUGUCAUAGAGGAAGAACGGUGGAUAUAGGGAAUGAUAUCCAAGUGACGGUACUCUAUAAGAAAGCCACGGCUAACUACGUGCCAGCAGCCGCGGUAAUACGUAGGUGGCGAGCGUUAUCCGGAAUUAUUGGGCGUAAAGAGGGAGCAGGCGGCACUAAGGGUCUGUGGUGAAAGAUCGAAGCUUAACUUCGGUAAGCCAUGGAAACCGUAGAGCUAGAGUGUGUGAGAGGAUCGUGGAAUUCCAUGUGUAGCGGUGAAAUGCGUAGAUAUAUGGAGGAACACCAGUGGCGAAGGCGACGAUCUGGCGCAUAACUGACGCUCAGUCCCGAAAGCGUGGGGAGCAAAUAGGAUUAGAUACCCUAGUAGUCCACGCCGUAAACGAUGAGUACUAAGUGUUGGGUGUCAAAGCUCAGUGCUGCAGUUAACGCAAUAAGUACUCCGCCUGAGUAGUACGUUCGCAAGAAUGAAACUCAAAGGAAUUGACGGGGG